GUGUUUGCUUUGGUAGCACAUAUACUAAAAUUGGAAUGAUACAGAGAGAUUAGCCUGGCCCAUGUGCAAGGAUGACAUGAAAAUUUGUGAAGCAUUCCAUAGUUUU
Molecule: small nuclear RNA, 106 nt
Filed under: Dasypus novemcinctus (nine-banded armadillo)
Lineage: Eukaryota; Metazoa; Chordata; Mammalia; Cingulata; Dasypodidae
Source: RNAcentral